ACUCUAUGAGUACAUCAGUAUAUUUGACUUCCAAUCAGAAGGUCUUAGCGAAAGUCUAAGAUAGAGUA
Molecule: transfer RNA, 68 nt
Filed under: Pygmaeocidaris prionigera
Lineage: Eukaryota; Metazoa; Echinodermata; Echinoidea; Arbacioida; Arbaciidae
Description: tRNA-Gly
Rfam family: tRNA
About the family: Transfer RNA (tRNA) molecules are approximately 80 nucleotides in length. Their secondary structure includes four short double-helical elements and three loops (D, anti-codon, and T loops).
Source: RNAcentral